Small nuclear RNA from Homo sapiens (human), 107 nucleotides. Lineage: Eukaryota; Metazoa; Chordata; Mammalia; Primates; Hominidae. The record is from Ensembl.
GUGCUCGCUUCAGCAGCACGUAUACUGAAAAUUAGAACGAUGCAGAGAAGUUAGCAUGACCCCUGUGCAGUGAUGACACACAAAUUCGUGGAAAAAAAAAAAAAAAA